GGUUAAGCGACUAAGCGUACACGGUGGAUGCCCUGGCAGUCAGAGGCGAUGAAGGACGUGCUAAUCUGCGAUAAGCGUCGGUAAGGUGAUAUGAACCGUUAUAACCGGCGAUUUCCGAAUGGGGAAACCCAGUGUGAUUCGUCACACUAUCAUUAACUGAAUCCAUAGGUUAAUGAGGCGAACCGGGGGAACUGAAACAUCUAAGUACCCCGAGGAAAAGAAAUCAACCGAGAUUCCCCCAGUAGCGGCGAGCGAACGGGGAGCAGCCCAGAGCCUGAAUCAGUGUGUGUGUUAGUGGAAGCGUCUGGAAAGGCGCGCGAUACAGGGUGACAGCCCCGUACACAAAAAUGCACAUACUGUGAGCUCGAUGAGUAGGGCGGGACACGUGGUAUCCUGUCUGAAUAUGGGGGGACCAUCCUCCAAGGCUAAAUACUCCUGACUGACCGAUAGUGAACCAGUACCGUGAGGGAAAGGCGAAAAGAACCCCGGCGAGGGGAGUGAAAAAGAACCUGAAACCGUGUACGUACAAGCAGUGGGAGCCUCUUUAUGGGGUGACUGCGUACCUUUUGUAUAAUGGGUCAGCGACUUAUAUUCUGUAGCAAGGUUAACCGAAUAGGGGAGCCGAAGGGAAACCGAGUCUUAACUGGGCGUUAAGUUGCAGGGUAUAGACCCGAAACCCGGUGAUCUAGCCAUGGGCAGGUUGAAGGUUGGGUAACACUAACUGGAGGACCGAACCGACUAAUGUUGAAAAAUUAGCGGAUGACUUGUGGCUGGGGGUGAAAGGCCAAUCAAACCGGGAGAUAGCUGGUUCUCCCCGAAAGCUAUUUAGGUAGCGCCUCGUGAAUUCAUCUCCGGGGGUAGAGCACUGUUUCGGCAAGGGGGUCAUCCCGACUUACCAACCCGAUGCAAACUGCGAAUACCGGAGAAUGUUAUCACGGGAGACACACGGCGGGUGCUAACGUCCGUCGUGAAGAGGGAAACAACCCAGACCGCCAGCUAAGGUCCCAAAGUCAUGGUUAAGUGGGAAACGAUGUGGGAAGGCCCAGACAGCCAGGAUGUUGGCUUAGAAGCAGCCAUCAUUUAAAGAAAGCGUAAUAGCUCACUGGUCGAGUCGGCCUGCGCGGAAGAUGUAACGGGGCUAAACCAUGCACCGAAGCUGCGGCAGCGACACUAUGUGUUGUUGGGUAGGGGAGCGUUCUGUAAGCCUGUGAAGGUGU
This 1217-nucleotide ribosomal RNA is filed under the name Escherichia coli. RNAcentral describes it as "partial 23S ribosomal RNA". It matches the Rfam family "Bacterial large subunit ribosomal RNA", at positions 1 to 1259 of the family's 2925-position model. The record is from RNAcentral. Lineage: Bacteria; Pseudomonadati; Pseudomonadota; Gammaproteobacteria; Enterobacterales; Enterobacteriaceae.